GUGAGUCAUCGAAUCUUUGAACGCACCUUGCGCCCUUUGGUAUUCCGAAGGGCAUGCCUGUUUGAGUGUCAUUAAAUUAUCAACCUUGUUCGCUUUUACGAGCUUGAGCGAGGCUUGGAUGUGAGGGCUUGCUGGCUUCCUUCAGUGGAUGGUCUGCUCCCUUUAAAUGCAUUAGUGGGAUCUCUUGUGGACCGUCACUUGGUGCGAUAAUUAUCUAUGCCAUUUGACUGUGAAGCAAAAUUAUGGGAACCUGCUUAUAACCGUCUCGCAAGGGACAAUUUAAUUGACUAUUUGACCUCA
This 300-nucleotide unclassified non-coding RNA is filed under the name uncultured Mycena. RNAcentral describes it as "sequence contains 5.8S rRNA gene, ITS2". The stretch from base 1 to 71 matches the Rfam family "5.8S ribosomal RNA", at positions 84 to 154 of the family's 154-position model. The record is from RNAcentral. Lineage: Eukaryota; Fungi; Basidiomycota; Agaricomycetes; Agaricales; Tricholomataceae.